CCAAAACAUAUUAUCUGUCAAGAAAUUGAAGGAUAAUAUGAUCAAUUAAAUUAAAUAAUAGAAGAAGACACUAAAAUAGGAAUAAGAGUGAGGAUAAGAAAAAAAACUUUAUUGAACUGGAACAAACAAAAUCCAAGCCUCUGUUUGAUAGUAUCAAUCUUAUCUUUACUAUGCUCACAAAAUGAAGGGCCAAUUUUUCAGUUGUAAGUUUUCUAAUAAACCACCAAAAUUAGUGUUCCCAUUACUAGCAGGAUUCAAUACUAAUGUAUAUAUUCACCAUAAGUUACCA
RNAcentral lists this long non-coding RNA (289 nucleotides) under Arachis ipaensis. RNAcentral describes it as "long non-coding RNA (AIPA_LNC001500)". Lineage: Eukaryota; Viridiplantae; Streptophyta; Magnoliopsida; Fabales; Fabaceae. The record is from RNAcentral.